GCCGGUGUGGCGGAAUUGGUAGACGCAGCGGAUUCAAAAUCCGCCGCUGGAAACAGUGUGUCGGUUCGAGUCCGACCACCGGCA
Molecule: transfer RNA, 84 nt
Filed under: Pistricoccus aurantiacus
Lineage: Bacteria; Pseudomonadati; Pseudomonadota; Gammaproteobacteria; Oceanospirillales; Halomonadaceae
Also listed under: 2 other names
Rfam family: tRNA
About the family: Transfer RNA (tRNA) molecules are approximately 80 nucleotides in length. Their secondary structure includes four short double-helical elements and three loops (D, anti-codon, and T loops).
Source: Rfam by way of RNAcentral